Long non-coding RNA from Oncorhynchus tshawytscha (Chinook salmon), 518 nucleotides. Lineage: Eukaryota; Metazoa; Chordata; Actinopteri; Salmoniformes; Salmonidae. The record is from Ensembl.
GUGACCAUGUCCGGCGGACAGGAAUAACAGCAAGUGACCAUGUCCGACGGACAGGAAUAACAGCAGGUGACCAUGUCCGACGGACAGGAAUAACAGCAGGUGACCAUGUCCGGCGGACAGGAAUAACAGCAGGUGACCAUGUCCGACGGACAGGAAUAACAGCAAGUGACCAUGUCCGACGGACAGGAAUAACAGAAAGUGACCAUGUCCGGCAGACAGGAAUAACAGCAGGUGACCAUGUCCGACGGACAGGAAUAACAGCAGGUGACCAUGUCCGACGGACAGGAAUAACAGCAGGUGACCAUGUCCGACAGACAGAUGGACAGGAAUAACAGCAGGUGAUAAUGCCUGCAAAAAUGCUGCUCUGGUCUUCUACUCCCCCUCAUCCACUUCUUAAAACACUAGGUUCCACGAAGACAAGGAAAUAACAUAUAGGUGGUUGAAUGGACAUAUACGUAGGUACAUGUCAACAUUAUCAUAUAGGUGGUUGAACGGAGUUCUACCUGUGUGUACAUGUU